This 278-nucleotide ribosomal RNA is filed under the name uncultured bacterium. Its description in RNAcentral is "partial 16S ribosomal RNA". It matches the Rfam family "Bacterial small subunit ribosomal RNA", at positions 393 to 670 of the family's 1533-position model. The record is from RNAcentral.
CAAGUAGCGUGAAGGAUGACUGCCUAUGGGUUGUAAACUUCUUUUAUAUGGGAAUAAGUGGAGUAUGUAUACUCUUUUGUAUGUACCAUAUGAAUAAGGAUCGGCUAACUCCGUGCCAGCAGCCGCGGUAAUACGGAGGAUCCGAGCGUUAUCCGGAUUUAUUGGGUUUAAAGGGGGCGUAGGCGGAUGCUUAAGUCAGUUGUGAAAGUUUGCGGCCCCACCGUAAAAUUGCAGUUGAAACUGGGUGUCUUGAGUGCAGUAUAGGCAGGCGGAAUUCG